Molecule: long non-coding RNA, 4169 nt
Organism: Oncorhynchus tshawytscha (Chinook salmon)
Lineage: Eukaryota; Metazoa; Chordata; Actinopteri; Salmoniformes; Salmonidae
Source: Ensembl
AGUCAGUGCUGUAGUGCUUCUGUAGUAGAGUUAAAAUGGUUAUUCCAUCAAACUUCAAAUGAUUAGAAUAGUACACAACGCAGAACAGAACAACCAGGUUGAGGGUCAGUGGCCAAAGCCCGCAAACAGGAAUAUUCCAAGUUCAGACAGAAGUUUAGACAGUCAGAUCGCUAUGAUCGCCAGGAACUUUACUUUUGGUGUCUAUUUUUAAAUGUUGCGCUACUGGUGCUGCCUGCUGAUGUUAGAUAGGCAGCUACAGUAGCUGAAUGAUGUUAACAUCUUCGGGUUUUGUUUCAUUAAAUGUAUUUUAUUUCAUCUGGGUGCUUGCAUCACCUACUAACACCUGGUACUACCCGUAGCCCCCGUUCUCCUCAGUCCGAGAAAACACUGAGAAAGAACAACUUGUCAGAUGGUGCAUUGGAGACUGAUGUGUUCCUGUCCUCUUUUCACAAUACUAUUGCAGGUGCUACCAAUAAACAUACAAGGAGGGGGAGGAAAGACAAUCAGUGGCAGCUAAUAGGCCGGUGACGACGACCACCGAGCGCCACCCGACCAGGAAGGGAAGCCACCCUCGGUCGGACUCGUGACAGCCACAUUGUAACGAUUGUCAUCGGGAGAAUGAGAAGAGGACCAAAGUGUAGCGUGGGAGAAGAUUCAGGCCUGCACUCUCAAGAUUCAUCAAAGGAAUGUACUUUUCCCCACUGAACCUCUAACACAUUCAAAAUGAGUAGUUACCGCCCGGAGUGAAGUCAGAGAGCGUGCCAGCCUGCCGGAACCACCUCUAUUAUCGAUGGGUUAAGAAAAAAACACGAGACCAGAAAAGUGUGAAGCUGCAGCUGCACAUUUAAAGUGGUUUGAACUUUGAAUCUCAACACGAGGUGGACAUGAUAAACUCACCUCCCAGACAAUCACUGGUACAGCUGAUAAACUGUCCUCAGUAAAGCAUCUUCAAAAGCGAAUUUAAGUAGGACCAUCCGGUUACUCCGCUCAAAUCAAAUGUUUUUGGUCACAUACACACGGUUAGCAGAUGUUAAUGAGAGUGUAGCGAAAUGCUUGUGCUUCUAGUUCCGACAGUGCAGUAAUAUCUAACAAGUAAUCUAACAAAUUCACAACGACUACCUUAUACACACAAUGUAAGGGGAUGGAAAGAUAAUAUGUACAUAUAAAUGUAUGGAUGCGCGAUGGCCGUGCGACAUAGGCAAGAUGCAAUAGAUAUUGCAUCUUGUAUAAAAUACAAUAUAGGCAAGAUGCAAUAGAUAUUGCAUCUUGUAUAAAAUACAAUAUAUGCAAGAUGCAAUAGAUAUUGCAUCUUGUAUAAAAUACAAUAUAUGCAAGAUGCAAUAGAUAUUGCAUCUUGUAUAAAAUACAAUAUAUACAAGAUGCAAUAGAUAUUGCAUCUUGUAUAAAAUACAAUAUAUACAUAUCCUACAUUACUCAUCUCAUAUGUAAACAUUAAAAUGGCAUUAUGGCAUUAAAGUGAGUAGUGAUACCUUUAUUAAAUCCAUUUAUUAAAUGGCCAAUGAUUUGAGUCUGUAUGUUGGCAGCAGCCUUUCUAUGUUAGUGAUGACUGUUUAACAGUCUGAGGGUGGAAACAAACACUGACACGGAAAAUAAACACCCACGAAACACAAGUGGGAAAAGGCUACCUAAGUAUGAUUUUCAAUCAGAGACAACUAACGACACCUGCCUCUGAUUGAGAACCAUACCAGGCCAAACACAACAUAGAAAACGGAACAUAGACAACCCACCCAACUCACACCCUGACCAUACUAAAACGAAGACAUAACAAAGGAACUAAGGUCGGAACGUGACACCAAUUCACAAACUUAUCAAGACAACUACCCAGGUCAUCCCUACUGCCUCUGAUCUGGCAGACUCACGAAACACAUAUGCUUUGUUUGUAAAUUAUGUCUGAGUGUUGGAGUGUGCCGCUGGCUAUUCGUCAUUAAAAAUUUUAAAAAAUAUACAAUUGUGCCAUCUGGAUUGCUUAAUAGAAGGAAUUUGAAAUGGUUUAUACUUUUACUUUUGAUACUUAAGUAUAUUUUAGCAAUUCCAUUUACUUUUUACCCCCUUUUUCGUGGUAUCCAAUUGUUAGUAGUUACUGUCUUGUCUCUUCGCUACAACUCCCGUACGGGAUCGGGAGAGACAAAGGUCAAGAGCCAUGCGUCCUCUGAAACACAACCCAACCAAGCCGCACUGCUUCUUAACAUAGCGCGCAUUCAACCCUGAAGCCAGCCGCACCAAUGUGUCGGAGGAAACACCGUACACCUAGCGAUCUGGUCAGCGUGCACUGCGCCCAGCCCACCACAGGAGUCACUAGUGCGCGAUGAGACAAGGAUAUCCCUACCGGCCAAACCCUCCCUAACCCGGAUGAUGCUAGGCCAAUUGUGCGUCGCCCCAUGGAUCUCAAGGUCGCGGCCGGCUGCGACAGAGCCUGGGCUCGAACCCAGAGUCUCUGGUGGCACAGCACCAGACCAUUGCGCCACCCGGGAGGCCGCCAUUCCAUUUACUUUUGAUACUUAAGUAUAUUUAAAACCAAAUACUUUCAAACUUUUACUAAAGAAGUAUUAUACUGGGUGACUUCACUUGAGUCAUUUUCGAAAAGGUAUCUUUACUUUUACUCAAGUAUGACAAUUGAGUACUUUUUCCACCACUGGGCAGACGGCAGGUUGUAUCUAAUGAAGUCCGGGACAUCGUCGUUGACCAUGUGGUAAGAGGCUGACAGAUUAGUUCACACCAAUCUGAAAAGAUCAACUGUCAAUUCGAUCAUGAGAAAAUUUCGCCAAGAAAACUGGUAAGUCUGCAGGAUAUACAUUAUCAUUACAUUUACAGUAAAUUACAUAUUGUAAUGCAUGUAAAUUCACUAAACAUGUUAAAGUAUACUCUAUACUACCCUCAGAAUUGACAGGAGAACACAUGGUGGUGGCCGUGUGCUGACCGACCAGCAGGACUGGACAGUGGUGGAAAUGGUGAGGGCCAGGAAUGACAUACGGCUGUCCAAAAUAAAGUAGGCUAUUGAGGAGAACAAUGUCACCUUUGCCAAUGUGUGUUCCAUCAUGAAAUACAUUUACCUGUUGCCUUUUGAAAUAAUUAACAAUCGGGUAAAACAACUGUGGGUCAAGUAUGUUCAGGUACAGCACUAUACACUGUAUUAUUGUUAUUAUUUGAUGCACAUGCUACUUCACAAUAUCAUAUUGGAACUAUACUGUAAAAAUAACUAACUCCCCCAAAAAUGUAGAGGAUGAUGGCGCUUGAUGCUGCUGUGAACCAUCACAAGUAUAUCUUUGUUGAUGAAGUGGGCUUCAACCUGGCCAAAACUCGGCACCUUGGGCGGAUCCUCAUCGGCCAACGGGCGACUGUCCAAGUGCCUGUAAAACGUGGGGGAAACAUCUCUAUGCGCGCAGCCUUCUCUGAAGAUGGUGUGGUAGGCCAUUACUUGGACCAUACAAUGCUGCACACCUCAUUGUGUUUCUCAAUAAAAUUGAGCAGGCAGGCAAGGUGAAGGGGUCACCUAUGUCAUUGUGCUCGACAAUGUCAGGUUACACCAUGCUGAAUUGGUUCAGGCUGUUGGGCCCAUCCCCGAUUCAUGACCCUAUACCAGCCCGCAUACUCUCCUUUCCUCAAACCUAUUGAGUAUUUUGUUUUAGUAUGGAGGUGGAAGGUGUACGAUCGACAUCCCCGUGAGCAUGCCACCCUCCUUCUGGCCAUGGAUGAGACAUGCAACGAUAUUAAUGCAGACCAAUGUCAGGCUUGGAUUCGCCAUACAAGAAGGUUUUUCCCACGGUGCAUGAACAAUGACAUUCACUGUGAUAUGGAUGAGAAUUUAUGGCCAAAUGCUCACAGUCUUAAUGCAAAUUAAUGCGUGCUAAACGUUAUGUUUUAUUUUCAUUCAUUUGUUUCAUCAAAUUUCUUACAUUUGAUUACAUGCAGUACACCUAUGUUGCAAUUGUGCGUGAAUGAUUCUAGAGGAUGUCUAUGUUGAUCACAUAUUGGAUAGAUAUGGAAGGGAUAGAUUUUCUGUCAAUUUUGUUGGGUAAUGUACACUACCGUUCAAAGGUUUGGGGUCACUUAGAAAUGUCCUUUUUUUUUAAAGAAAAGCUAAUUUUUUCCCAUUAAAAUAACAUAUUGAUCCGAAAUACAGUGUAGACAUUUUUAAUGUUGUAAAUGAC